This 81-nucleotide transfer RNA is filed under the name Pseudomonas siliginis. RNAcentral describes it as "tRNA-Ser". Lineage: Bacteria; Pseudomonadati; Pseudomonadota; Gammaproteobacteria; Pseudomonadales; Pseudomonadaceae. The record is from RNAcentral.
GGUUUCAUUGGCUUUGCAUAUCGGUCUUGAAAACCGUCGACUGUAACAGGUCCAUGAGUUCGAAUCCCAUCGCCUCCGCCA